RNAcentral lists this long non-coding RNA (2445 nucleotides) under Mytilus galloprovincialis (Mediterranean mussel). Lineage: Eukaryota; Metazoa; Mollusca; Bivalvia; Mytilida; Mytilidae. The record is from RNAcentral.
UCUGUGUGGUUGAACAUGAAAUUGCCUCCGAUGCUACAAAGAAAAUUUGUUUAAUGUCAAAUGUUGCAAUAUAUGCUAAGUAUUACACGUGGACAGGAUGUUCCCCAAAAAAUAAGUUAUACACACCCCAAGGGUACACGCUAGUGUCAUAUGGAAAAUUACUGGGUCACCUGUAAGAUGGUAAUCAGCCAUGCAACUAAUCAGGUUACUUAACUGACCAUGUCACUUCAAUUUAAAGUUUAUCGGUAGAUCAAAAUGAUAAAUUCGUUUUAAUUAAACAUUUCAGAUCUAAAGGAUUUAUCAUUAUAAUGAAGUGAAAUAAUUAAACCAUAUCGUAUUAUUUUCAAAAGAUUAUUUAUUUUCAUAUUUUUUUUAUCUAUGCCGGGAAAGAAUUGAAAACUGUAUUUAUAAUUUUUAAAUUUAUUUUAUAAAAAAAUCCGUGUAGGUCUCAUGAAAUGGAACCCACGCAUUCCUACUUAAGAUUUAUAAAGGAGUAGGUUCAGUAAGACCCCUUUUCGGCCCCAAAAUAUAGCAGUUUUACUAAAUUGUAUAGUACUAGAACCGAACACCUGUUUUGGGAUAUAUAUACAUAUAGUUAAUUUUUACCGUAAAUAACUGCGAGAAUAAUGAAUAAUACUAAAUAACUGCGAGAAAAUGAAUAAUACACAAGUUGAUAAUUGUCUCUUCUCUGCUUAUUAAUUUGCAUGCAAUAUUUUCUCUGAUUUACUUGUGAGAUCACCGACACUAAUAAUAAUUACCUAAAAAAAAUAGGUGCUCCGUACUGGGAAGAUCAUAUCGGAUCCUAUCAAUUUAUUGGUUCCAUUCCCCCAAUUAAAUGAGUCUACACGUCUCCUUAGAAAAAAAUGCCUUGCAAUGCGUCUGAACUACUAAGUACUUCCAUAUAAUUUCGAAAACAGAUAAUAAUCUAUUUCACUGGAUGAGAUUGGGCUGACGGAUUUUUAAAUGGAAAUGUAUUAAUUUUUAUUUAUAGCACAAGUUUUACAAGGCAAGAUUAUUCACCCUGUUCGCCCUACAAAUCAAAUGGUUGCCUCCUUACACCUACACGAGCUAAAACAUAUACAUAUGAACAUUUGAUAUCAUUUAUUUUGUGUGACAACUCUUCACCAAUGACCUGAGUGAAAGGUUGACAUGGGCAGAUCCAGAAAUUUCCAUUUUUUUUUAAUUUUUUGUUGUUUUUUUUUUUUUUUGGGGGGGGGGGCAGAGGGGGAUGCUUGCUCCAGUCAUGCUUCAGUGAUUCCCUAUAUAAUCAACAAAAUAUUUCACACCAAAAAGGGGGGGCGGGGCUUUCUCCUUAAUAAGAAAUCUCUGUUUUCAGGCAUAGGCUCAUAUAAAUUUGCCUUUUGAAGAACUGAAAUAAAUAUGAAACGGCUAAUGAGUUUUCAGAUGCUUUACAUUAAAAUACAUCAUGUACAUACAUGUGACAUACACAAUUAUAUAUAAAUGUAGAAUCAAAUCUUGAUAAAUGUAUGUAGUUGAAAUUGUUAGCUUUAAACAUUAAAAAAAUGAACUCCCAAAGUUUAAACACAAUUAAGAAUGACCAUGUACAUGAUGUACAUGUAGUCUGUAAUGUAUGCCAUUGCCAUGAAGCUAGAUCAUUGUAGGUAAACUGUCAUCUAUUCCCUUAAAUCUUUGUCCCCAGUCACCCCAAGUUUGAUUUAAAUUAGGGAGCUUCCAUUUGAUUUUUAUGGGGGGGGGCUAGGAUGAAAUUUGAAAAAAAUAGGCAGAACAGGAGUUUUGAGAAGAAAAAAAAGGCAGGAUGAGACACUAGCAAAAAAAAAAGUCAGGACGACAAUUUUGGUAAAAAAAGUCAGGAUAAACUAAAAAAAGAAAGGCAGGAACGAACAGAGUGAAAAAUAAAAAGGCAGGACAGAGAUUACAGCUAAAAAAAAAAAAUGCAGGAUAAAAUUUUUCAUCCUAGCCCCCCCCCCCCCCUAAAAAUCAAAUGGUAGCUCCCUUAGUCAAGUAUAUAUCUACUCUAUUAGGUCUCUAGUUUGGAUAGUGUAUAACUUGCAAAUUAAAAUCAUACUCCUUCCAAAUUUCUUUCUUUAAAAUAUUAUGGAUGAAAUAGCAAGUAAAGAAUGAAAUUAAAUUGGAUGAAAUGUGUCAAUUUUUUUGGUAAAGUAGUAUGUCUGAAGUUGUCAAACUUAAUGAUAGACCCUUCAGGGGCGGAUCCAGUCAUUUUAAAAAGGGGUUUCCUAACCCAGGACAAAAAGGGGGGGGGGGUAAUUACAUGUCCCCAUUCAAAUGCAUUGAUAGUCCAAAAAAGGGGGGUCUUUGACACAUUCCCCAUUCCCAUUCUCAAUUUUAUCAUGUAGUCGUCGUAGUCCGAAGACACUUAGUUUUCGCAUAAUUACUUUUAGUAUAAGUUAACAGAAAUCUAUGAAACUCAAACACAGGGUUUGUGACCAGAGUUUUUGUCCAGAG